Molecule: ribosomal RNA, 506 nt
Filed under: uncultured bacterium
Lineage: Bacteria
Description: partial 16S ribosomal RNA
Rfam family: Bacterial small subunit ribosomal RNA
Source: RNAcentral
AUUGAACGCUGGCGGCAGGCUUAACACAUGCAAGUCGAGCGGUAACAGAGAGAAGCUUGCUUCUCUGCUGACGAGCGGCGGACGGGUGAGUAAUGCCUAGGAAUCUGCCUAGUAGUGGGGGAUAACUUGCCGAAAGGUAAGCUAAUACCGCAUACGUCCUACGGGAGAAAGGAGGGGACCUUCGGGCCUUUCGCUAUUAGAUGAGCCUAGGUCGGAUUAGUUAGUUGGUGAGGUAAUGGCUCACCAAGACCGCGAUCCGUAACUGGUCUGGGAGGAUGAUCAGGCACGCUGGAACUGAGACACGGUCCAGACUCCUACGGGAGGCAGCAGUGGGGAAUAUUGGACAAUGGGGGGAACCCUGAUCCAGCCAUGCCGCGUGUGUGAAGAAGGUCUUAGGAUUGUAAAGCACUUUAAGUUGGGAGGAAGAGCAGUUAACUAAUAUUUGACUGUUUUGACGUUACCGACAGAAUAAGCACCGGCUAACUUCGUGCCAGCCGCCGCCGUAA